CCAGGUCUCCGUGGAGGGAUGAGGCGUGGAGCUGCCUUCUCCACCGUUCCAAACCUGAGCCUCCCGAGGACCUUCAGACACCGAGGUCACCGGACUGGAAGGGAAAGUACUGCGGGAGGGACUGUGGAGGCUGCAAAGAUGGUAAAGAAGAUAGUCUCACUCCUAAAGAACACUUACUACUCUGACAGGGGAGACAAUUCACGUAAAUUUGUGCUGCAAAGCAAGUCAAUGCACCAGAAUGUAUGGAGGUGCUACAGAAUGAGAGAAGGCGAAGGAACGUCCCCUCACUGCCUUGGCCUUCAGGACAUAACCCCACCCAAGAAGAAAGCACCCAUAACAGGUUGGAGACAGGUGAGCAUGUGUUUUUACAAUUGGCGUGUUGGACGUACUGAGAACGGAGGCUGGGUGUGAACUGCAGCGGGGAGACGUUAGGAAGGCGUGUUUACACGGAAAAGGGAUGGAUAGGGCUCGGACAUAAUUUAGUGAGAACAAGAAGCACCACAGCCCACAGGCCAGAGGAGGAGCAUGUCCACUGGAAGACAGAGACCGAAAUCUGGCUAAGGAGGAGCGCUCUGGGCC
Long non-coding RNA from Myotis lucifugus (little brown bat), 579 nucleotides. RefSeq lists it as uncharacterized. NCBI's taxonomy places the organism in Eukaryota, Metazoa, Chordata, Mammalia, Chiroptera, Vespertilionidae. The record is from RefSeq and is a predicted model, not a curated record. The transcript is spliced from 3 exons.